UGUGGCCGGACCGGCUGGCUCAGUUGUGGCCGGACCGGCUGGUUCGGUUGUGGCAGGACCGGCUGGCUUGGUUGUGCCUUGACCGGCUGGCUCGGUUGUGGCCAGAUCAGGUGUCUCAGUUGUGCCCGGACCGGCUGGCUCGGUUGUGCCUGGACCGGCUGGCUCGGUUGUGGCCAGAUCAGGCGCCUCGGUUGUGGCCGGACCGGCUGGCUCUGUUGUGGCCGGACCGGCUGGUUCGGUUGUGGCCGGACCGACUGGCUCGGUUGUGCCUGGACCGGGUGGCUCGGUUGUGGCCAGAUCAGGUGUCUCAGUUGUGCCCGGACCGGCUGGCUCGGUUGUGCCUGAACCGGCUGACUCGGUUGUGGCCAGAUCAGGUGUCUCAGUUGUGCCUGGACCGGCUGGCUCGGUUGUGGCCAGAUCAGGUGUCUCAGUUGUGCCCGGACCGGCUGGCUCGGUUGUGGCCAGAUCAGGCGCCUCGGUUGUGGCCGGACCGGCUGGCUCAGUUGUGGCCGGACCGGCUGGCUUGGUUGUG
Long non-coding RNA from Hippocampus zosterae (dwarf seahorse), 532 nucleotides. RefSeq lists it as uncharacterized. NCBI's taxonomy places the organism in Eukaryota, Metazoa, Chordata, Actinopteri, Syngnathiformes, Syngnathidae. The transcript is spliced from 5 exons. The record is from RefSeq and is a predicted model, not a curated record.